RNAcentral lists this ribosomal RNA (2898 nucleotides) under Escherichia coli DEC7A. Its description in RNAcentral is "bacterial LSU rRNA". It matches the Rfam family "Bacterial large subunit ribosomal RNA". Lineage: Bacteria; Pseudomonadati; Pseudomonadota; Gammaproteobacteria; Enterobacterales; Enterobacteriaceae. The record is from RNAcentral.
UUAAGCGACUAAGCGUACACGGUGGAUGCCCUGGCAGUCAGAGGCGAUGAAAGACGUGCUAAUCUGCGAUAAGCGUCGGUAAGGUGAUAUGAACCGUUAUAACCGGCGAUUUCCGAAUGGGGAAACCCAGUGUGUUUCGACACACUAUCAUUAACUGAAUCCAUAGGUUAAUGAGGCGAACGGGGAACUGAAACAUCUAAGUACCCGAGGAAAGAAAUCAACCGAGAUUCCCCCAGUAGCGGCGAGCGAACGGGGAGGAGCCCAGAGCCUGAAUCAGUGUGUGUGUUAGUGGAAGCGUCUGGAAAGGCGCGCGAUACAGGGUGACAGCCCCGUACACAAAAAUGCACAUAUUGUGAGCUCGAUGAGUAGGGCGGGACACGUGGUAUCCUGUCUGAAUAUGGGGGGACCAUCCUCCAAGGCUAAAUACUCCUGACUGACCGAUAGUGAACCAGUACCGUGAGGGAAAGGCGAAAAGAACCCCGGCGAGGGGAGUGAAAAAGAACCUGAAACCGUGUACGUACAAGCAGUGGGAGCACGCUUAGGCGUGUGACUGCGUACCUUUUGUAUAAUGGGUCAGCGACUUAUAUUCUGUAGCAAGGUUGACCGAAUAGGGGAGCCGAAGGGAAACCGAGUCUUAACUGGGCGUUAAGUUGCAGGGUAUAGACCCGAAACCCGGUGAUCUAGCCAUGGGCAGGUUGAAGGUUGGGUAACACUAACUGGAGGACCGAACCGACUAAUGUUGAAAAAUUAGCGGAUGACUUGUGGCUGGGGGUGAAAGGCCAAUCAAACCGGGAGAUAGCUGGUUCUCCCCGAAAGCUAUUUAGGUAGCGCCUCGUGAAUUCAUCUCCGGGGGUAGAGCACUGUUUCGGCAAGGGGGUCAUCCCGACUUACCAACCCGAUGCAAACUGCGAAUACCGGAGAAUGUUAUCACGGGAGACACACGGCGGGUGCUAACGUCCGUCGUGAAGAGGGAAACAACCCAGACCGCCAGCUAAGGUCCCAAAGUCAUGGUUAAGUGGGAAACGAUGUGGGAAGGCCCAGACAGCCAGGAUGUUGGCUUAGAAGCAGCCAUCAUUUAAAGAAAGCGUAAUAGCUCACUAGUCGAGUCGGCCUGCGCGGAAGAUGUAACGGGCUAAACCAUGCACCGAAGCUGCGGCAGCGACGCUUAUGCGUUGUUGGGUAGGGGAGCGUUCUGUAAGCCUGUGAAGGUGUGCUGUGAGGCAUGCUGGAGGUAUCAGAAGUGCGAAUGCUGACAUAAGUAACGAUAAAGCGGGUGAAAAGCCCGCUCGCCGGAAGACCAAGGGUUCCUGUCCAACGUUAAUCGGGGCAGGGUGAGUCGACCCCUAAGGCGAGGCCGAAAGGCGUAGUCGAUGGGAAACAGGUUAAUAUUCCUGUACUUGGUGUUACUGCGAAGGGGGGACGGAGAAGGCUAUGUUGGCCGGGCGACGGUUGUCCCGGUUUAAGCGUGUAGGCUGGUUUUCCAGGCAAAUCCGGAAAAUCAAGGCUGAGGCGUGAUGACGAGGCACUACGGUGCUGAAGCAACAAAUGCCCUGCUUCCAGGAAAAGCCUCUAAGCAUCAGGUAACAUCAAAUCGUACCCCAAACCGACACAGGUGGUCAGGUAGAGAAUACCAAGGCGCUUGAGAGAACUCGGGUGAAGGAACUAGGCAAAAUGGUGCCGUAACUUCGGGAGAAGGCACGCUGAUAUGUAGGUGAAGCGACUUGCUCGUGGAGCUGAAAUCAGUCGAAGAUACCAGCUGGCUGCAACUGUUUAUUAAAAACACAGCACUGUGCAAACACGAAAGUGGACGUAUACGGUGUGACGCCUGCCCGGUGCCGGAAGGUUAAUUGAUGGGGUCAGCGCAAGCGAAGCUCUUGAUCGAAGCCCCGGUAAACGGCGGCCGUAACUAUAACGGUCCUAAGGUAGCGAAAUUCCUUGUCGGGUAAGUUCCGACCUGCACGAAUGGCGUAAUGAUGGCCAGGCUGUCUCCACCCGAGACUCAGUGAAAUUGAACUCGCUGUGAAGAUGCAGUGUACCCGCGGCAAGACGGAAAGACCCCGUGAACCUUUACUAUAGCUUGACACUGAACAAUUGAGCCUUGAUGUGUAGGAUAGGUGGGAGGCUUUGAAGUGUGGACGCCAGUCUGCAUGGAGCCGACCUUGAAAUACCACCCUUUAAUGUUUGAUGUUCUAACGUUGACCCGUAAUCCGGGUUGCGGACAGUGUCUGGUGGGUAGUUUGACUGGGGCGGUCUCCUCCUAAAGAGUAACGGAGGAGCACGAAGGUUGGCUAAUCCUGGUCGGACAUCAGGAGGUUAGUGCAAUGGCAUAAGCCAGCUUGACUGCGAGCGUGACGGCGCGAGCAGGUGCGAAAGCAGGUCAUAGUGAUCCGGUGGUUCUGAAUGGAAGGGCCAUCGCUCAACGGAUAAAAGGUACUCCGGGGAUAACAGGCUGAUACCGCCCAAGAGUUCAUAUCGACGGCGGUGUUUGGCACCUCGAUGUCGGCUCAUCACAUCCUGGGGCUGAAGUAGGUCCCAAGGGUAUGGCUGUUCGCCAUUUAAAGUGGUACGCGAGCUGGGUUUAGAACGUCGUGAGACAGUUCGGUCCCUAUCUGCCGUGGGCGCUGGAGAACUGAGGGGGGCUGCUCCUAGUACGAGAGGACCGGAGUGGACGCAUCACUGGUGUUCGGGUUGUCAUGCCAAUGGCACUGCCCGGUAGCUAAAUGCGGAAGAGAUAAGUGCUGAAAGCAUCUAAGCACGAAACUUGCCCCGAGAUGAGUUCUCCCUGACUCCUUGAGAGUCCUGAAGGAACGUUGAAGACGACGACGUUGAUAGGCCGGGUGUGUAAGCGCAGCGAUGCGUUGAGCUAACCGGUACUAAUGAACCGUGAGGCUUAACCUU